UGCGGCCCUUGGGUACUAUUUCCAAGGGCUACGCCUGUCUGA
This 42-nucleotide ribosomal RNA is filed under the name Bothrogonia mecota. RNAcentral's name for it is "partial 5.8S ribosomal RNA". The record is from RNAcentral. Lineage: Eukaryota; Metazoa; Arthropoda; Insecta; Hemiptera; Cicadellidae.